Molecule: ribosomal RNA, 418 nt
Filed under: uncultured bacterium
Lineage: Bacteria
Description: bacterial SSU rRNA
Rfam family: Bacterial small subunit ribosomal RNA
Source: RNAcentral
GGAAUAUUGGUCAAUGGGCGCAAGCCUGAACCAGCCAUGCCGCGUGCAGGAUGACGGUCCUAUGGAUUGUACACUGCUUUUGUACGAGAAGAAACACUACUUCGUGAAGUAGCUUGACGGUAUCGUAAGAAUAAGAAUCGGCUAACUCCGUGCCAGCAGCCGCGGUAAUACGGAGGAUCCAAGCGUUAUCCGGCAUCAUUGGGUUUACAGGGUCCGUAGGCGGUCUUAUAAGUCAGUGGUGAAAUCUACCCGCUCAACGGGGAAACUUCCAUUGAUACUGUAGGACUUGAAUAAUUAGGAAGUAACUAGAAUAUGUAGUGUAGCUGUGAAAUGCUUAGAGAGUACAUGGAAUACCAAUUGCGAAGGCAGGUUACUACUAAUUCAUUGACGCUGAUGGACGAAAGCGUGGGUAGCGAAC